Molecule: non-coding RNA, 117 nt
Organism: Macaca mulatta (Rhesus monkey)
Lineage: Eukaryota; Metazoa; Chordata; Mammalia; Primates; Cercopithecidae
Source: Rfam
GCUGGGUGUGAUGGCUCACGCCUGUAACCCCAGAACUCUGGGAGGCUGAGGUGGGGGGAUCACCUGAGGUCAGGAGUUUGAGACCAGCCUGACCAAUAUGGCGAAACCCCAUCUCUA